AUCUUAGCUAUUUCAAUUAAAACCUCAUUUCUCUGUUUUGAAUCGGAAGAAACGUAUAAUAUGCUUAACUUUAGUUGAUUCUUGAGUGAAACUAAACCGUCAAAGUAGGAAAAUUAUGGCGACUACUAAGAAGGAACUUGCAUUUUAAUUUUAUUUUUCGAUUUAAUUCCUUGAAGUUCUAGGGGAUAAGUUCAUGUGUAAAUUCAUAUUUUGAAUCCUUUUCCAAAUCACUCUGUUUCUUUGUCGGUGGAUGGUUUCACCACUCUUGCUUUGUUCAAAUCCAAAACUAAAGCCCCGCCCUAGAAGGUUGAGAAGCCGAAGCAGAGGGUUGAAGAUGGAAUUUUUGGGACUUCUGGUGGCAUUGGUUUUACUAAGCAAAAUGAACUCUUCGUCGAUCGUGUUGCCAUGAUCGACUUUGCUAUAAGAUUUAUGGAUAUAUAUGUUUAUUAUAAAUAUAUUUUAUUUUAUUUUAUUUAUUUUUGGUAAAAUUGAUAGCUAUUUUAACAGAUUUGUUGGACAAUGUAUAAAACUAUAUGUCAAAAUCUUUACUACUAAAAUCAUAAAAUAUUAUUCUGACAUAUUUACCAUUUGUUUUCAAGUUCAAUAUUCUAAAUCAUUCUAAAUUAUUUAGUUUAAUUAUGAGAAUCAGAGGCUUGCUGCUACACAUGGAACCUGGCGGCAAAAGCUUACUCACUUGGGCCAUAGUAGUAGUGUUAAGAAGUUGUAGCAGUCAAGUUGUUUUUGUUUUUUUUUUACUGCUACAUUUUAACUUUUCAUGUUUUACAUUUGUUUUGUGUGUGAAUCUUAUACUAUUUCUUGGAUAAUAUUUCUAAAGGUUAAACAUAGAGAAAAGAGAGCUUAAAGUGAAACUCAAUUUGCUGCAGACAAUGUGUUUGAAAGAAUGUCGAAAUGACAUAUCAGAUAUGUAAAACUAAGCGAUUGAGAAGCAAUGUUUUGUCAUUGUUGAGGUUUACUGAGUUUCAGAUGGAAGGUUGGUUGAACUUGGCAUCGACCUUGAGAUUUACUACCCAUUGCAAUAGUGUUAAGGUGAGCUACUAUCCAUCAGCCAUGAUGUGUUAAGUAAGGUUAGACUUGUUGACUAUCAUUCAUUAUAGGUUGAUCAAAGUUGACUAAACUAGGUGAAGUAUAUCUGGAAGUGUCAAGUUUUACUCUCUAUCACCAACAUGCUCUGUGUCAUUUAUUUGUUGAUCAACGUUUGAAUAUGAAAUAAGCUAUUUGUUUACCAAUCAAUUGUUAUGAACUAUUGUUUUCGUGUGUUGCAGAUGUGAGUUAUAACAAUUUUUUCUCUGGGGAUUUAUACCAUUGAUAAAAAUUGAAAUUCUUAAAUGAAAAAUAGUAUUUGAUGACAAUUAUUUAUCGAAGUAAAUUAGUACUUUCUUUAAGCUAUCAUCUUUCUCAUGGUUUAUUUUUUGGCUUAUUGUGCAUUAGUAAGUAGUUUGCAUUUAUGGUGCUUUUAACUUCUCAAUGACAUCACCUUACGAAUCAUUAUGGCCUUAGAUGUUUACUAUUGACUUGGUUGUUUGAAUUCGUUCUAUUUUUUGGUUAUGUUUCAUUACCAGUAUAACAUAAUUUCACACACUGACUCUAAUAAUGUUGGCUCAAUUGUUGGAGAGGACUCCAUCACUCAGUGAUCUGAAUGAAAUUGUCUAUGGUAAGGUAUCCGGUACCAGUAUUAAUGUAUUUUGUGGUGCCAACUUUGCAAUUACUCAAUCUAGUUUUUCUCUCGGAUUCUACGAAAGAUUUUUCUUCUAAACAGGGGCUUAUAUUUGUAAGAUAUAAACACUUAGAAAACGAAAACUAGUUUUGCUUUCAUAACCUUACUGUAGAUGGGUGACGUUUUAACAGUUGACUGGGUCUUUUAGGAUUGAUGAAAAUUUUUAAACCAUCUUUUGCAUCCUUUUCAUAUAUCGAAGCAUAUGUUAAUAUAUAUUUUAGCCUUUAUCAUUCUACUACGUAUAUCUUGUUCUGGCUCUUGGAUAUUUUUAUAUAAAAUUUCAUUCCAACAAGUUGUAUGAAUGUUGGAACAAUUUGAUUUUCCCUUUCCUGUUGUAGACAUUUUUUUUUAACUUUUGCAUUUGGUUGUAUUUAUUUAUGAUGAUUAGAGUUUUUUACGACAUAAGAAAUAAUAAUAUCUGUAGCCUGCCCAAGCGAAUCAACCCAUUUAAUAAAUGUGUGUUUCUGACUUAUGUUCAAAUGGGCUAUAUAUUUAAUGUUUUACAUGAACUUUUGCAAUUCUCGACUAAAUUUUUAUAGGUUGAAGAUCUAUAUCAUUUUCACUGUGGCGACACAAACGUUGAAAAUCUACAAGUAGGUUGUUUCAUUGUCUCUACUGAAGCGUUUUGUGUUGUCCCUCAAUCCGUCUUCAUGCAAAAUCAAUUUCUCCUAACCCACAUUUUGUUGAUAUUUUGUUCCUUCAUUCGUUCGUUGCGUUUCACCGAUGAACCCCCAUUUCGUGAUGCCGAAUCUCUAUCUGCAUCUCUCUCAUCUGUCUCUCUCAGUCCCCAAGGGUUUUGCAUGUUUGUUGAAGCCGACCCUUCAACGGCGUUGGCUUUAAACACGAUUUCCUUUUGGAAUCUAGGGUUUUGCCUCCAAAGUCAUUUUGUUAAAGGUGACCCUGUAAUUUUCUCCUUGCCGCUUGCGGUUCCAUUGUUGCGGCUGGGUGUUUCGCUUGCCAUUUAGUCAUUUCCUUCACUGAUAAGAUAGAAACUUCACACCGUUGUCUGCCAUUAGGUGCCGAUCGAGCUUGGUAGGGAGGUAUUAGAGUCUUUUGAAUCCAAUUUUUUUUAGCCGAUGAUGAGUUCCCAUUUUCAAUACAAACUGAUUUUCUUUUGGAAUAUAUUUAUUUGUUUGCAUUCUAUUCUCUGUUAUGAUAAUUUAGUUUCGGUAUUGUCUGAUUUUUGUUUUCCAUAUAUGUAUGUAAAGGCAUUUGUCCAUGCUUUUGCGGCCUUCCAUUCUGUCUUAUUGUUUUACAUUGCUCUACUUUAUUUUGGCAUUUCAUUCUGUCUUCUUGCUUUACAUUUUACAUUGUUUUGAUAACAUUUGCUAUCAAUUGUGUUGCCUGAUUUUGUAUUCACAAAAUAUGUUUGAAGUUAUUUACCCACUUUUCUUCCAUAGUAUUGUCUCUUCCAUCUUUUGGGUUAAAAAUUACCUGGCUGCAUAGUAUUGUCUCUUCCAUCUGUAUACACUGUAUGCUUUCUGUAUAGCUUCCAGUGCUGUCUCUUCCAUCUGUUUAGAUUGUAUGCUUUUGAUAUAGCUUUCAGUACAUAGCCUUUGACUCCUUGGACCUUUCGAUGCUUUAUGUCAGUUCUAACAGAGAUUCCCUGUCUUUUAUUGAUGGAUAGCUUCCAGUGUAUUACUUUCCUCUUUAUUUUUUGGUUUGCUUCCAUUAAGGCCCUCCCAACUUGCCUCAUCUUCCCCUAUAUAUACACCACGUUUCCUCUUUUCAUUUACUGCAUUCUUCUCUCUGUUUGUAUCUUCUCCUUCGUAAGUUACCUUUUUUUGCUGAUUCUUCAUUUAAGUUACCCUACAUAUUCUUGCAAUUAACUUCUGUCCUCCUUUCUCACUGUUUUGUAUGCACUUAUAUAUUCAUCUAUUUUUAUUGAUAUUUACCUUAUAUGUUUUUGGUAUAUGCUUCUGUCUUCCUUUCUCACUUAUGAACUCUUUACUAUGUACUUAUAUUCA
Long non-coding RNA from Cucumis melo (muskmelon), 3702 nucleotides. RefSeq lists it as uncharacterized. Lineage: Eukaryota; Viridiplantae; Streptophyta; Magnoliopsida; Cucurbitales; Cucurbitaceae. The transcript is spliced from 4 exons. The record is from RefSeq and is a predicted model, not a curated record.